This 775-nucleotide ribosomal RNA is filed under the name uncultured Neocallimastigales. RNAcentral describes it as "partial large subunit ribosomal RNA". It matches the Rfam family "Eukaryotic large subunit ribosomal RNA", at positions 24 to 645 of the family's 3401-position model. Lineage: Eukaryota; Fungi; Neocallimastigomycota; Neocallimastigomycetes; Neocallimastigales. The record is from RNAcentral.
GUAGUCUCGCACAGAUGCAUAUCAAUAAGCGGAGGAAAAGAAACUAACAAGGAUUCCCCUAGUAGCGGCGAGUGAAGCGGGAAGAGCUCAAAUUUGAAAUCUUAAAGGGUUUCCCUUUACGAAUUGUAGUUUAAAGAAGUGUUUUCUGUUGAGGUUUUGGUAAAAGUUCUUUGGAAUAGGACAUCAUAGAGGGUGAGAAUCCCGUAUUUGACCUUUACUUUCAACUUUGUGAUACACUUUCAAAGAGUCGGAUUGUUUGGGAAUGCAGUCCAAAAUGGGUGGUAAAUUUCAUCUAAAGCUAAAUAUUGGCGAGAGACCGAUAGCGAACAAGUACCGUGAGGGAAAGAUGAAAAGAACUUUGAAAAGAGAGUUAAACAGUACGUGAAAUUGUCAAAAGGGAAGCGCUUUGACACCAGUGUUGUUUUUCUGAAAAUCAAUUAAAGAACUGUUUAUGCUAAGUUGUUUAGACUUUAUCAGCUAACUGUUUAGUUUUGAGCUUUUCUUUAAUGCACUUUUCAGUUAACAAGUCAACAUCAAUUUCUUUUGCUGUAAAAAAGCUUGAGGAAGGUGGCUUGAGAUUCGUCUUAAGUGUUUAUAGCCUCUUGCCUAUGCAGUCGGAGAGAUUGAGGUCUGCAGCGUAGAUCCUUCGGGGCUAAAUGCAUUUGUGCUAAGUUAUAGCAUUUUAUAGACAACUUGUUGACUAUGAUUUGUCUUGUAGCUUACUCGCUUAUGUUAUUUUACCUACGCUUAGGAUGUUGAUCUGUAGUGCGUGCGC